UUCAUAUUCCUCCGUCCAACAAAAAAUGUUUCAAUUUUGCCAAAAUUUGAAUGUAUCUAGACAUACUUCGUGUAUAGAUGUAUUCAAAUUUAGUCAAAGUUGAGACAUCUUUUGUUGGACGGAGAGAGUACUAU
Molecule: non-coding RNA, 134 nt
Organism: Brachypodium distachyon (stiff brome)
Lineage: Eukaryota; Viridiplantae; Streptophyta; Magnoliopsida; Poales; Poaceae
Source: Rfam